RNAcentral lists this long non-coding RNA (1000 nucleotides) under Homo sapiens (human). RNAcentral's name for it is "non-protein coding lnc-SOWAHB-5:11". Lineage: Eukaryota; Metazoa; Chordata; Mammalia; Primates; Hominidae. The record is from RNAcentral.
GUUGGAAAAGACUAAAGCAGCAAGUUUGAUAAGGAGGCUACAGCAAUAGUCCAGGUGAAAGACGCAAGAGCCCAAAAUGCAGCAGUGGCCAAGGGAAUGGAUCUGAGAUAAAGUUCAGAAGAUAGAGUUGGCAGGGCAGGUGAGGAGAAGAGAAGAAGGCCACAUGAAGAUGGAGCAAGAGAUUGGAGUGAUGUGGCCACAAGCCAAGGAAGCUGAGGAAUGAAGACAGCUAUCAGAAGCUGGAAGAGGAAAAGAAUUCUCUCUUGGGGUCUGCAGAGGGAGAACAGCCCUGCCAACACUUCCAUUUCCAAUGUCUGGACUCUAGAACUGUGAGAAAAUAAAUUCCCAUUAUUUUAAGGAACACAGUUUGUGAUACUGCAUUACAGCAGCUCCAUGAAACAAAUACAUUUUGUUAUUCCAAGUCCUCUUCACAACAAAGUCUUUGCUAGUGGUGAACCAAACACAGUCCCACCAUCAUGAGCCACUGUUCUGGAUGAGGGGGCAACACAGUUCAGACACUGGUCAUCUCUAUUUAAUGUCUAAUGGGCAUCUCAAACCUAACUUUCUCCCAGUGGAAAUGCCUGGAGGUACGUGGAGAUGGAAAGCUGACCUAGCCAAGGAGUUCAGCAAAGAUCCCUGGGAGGAGGUGACAUCUGGACAUCUGCACAGAAUAAUGAGGCUGGGCUAAGGCAGUGACUGAGGGAGGCACUCUUUUUUGGUUUUUCUUUUCUUUUCUUUUGUGUAGGAAGGAAAGAAUAGCCAGGAGAGAUAGAGGAGAAAGAGGAUAAAGAUAGACAGGAAAGAGGUAACACAAGAAGUCAGGACCUGCGCUUGAGGGGCAGAAGUCAAGUCGGGCUAAGGUGAGAAGGCAGAACAGGGUUCAGGGUCUUUGAAGAGAAACAAGUACAGAGCUGGAACUAAGUGAUGCUGACUCCAGACUAAAACCCUCUGGGUUUGAAUCCUGCCUCUGCCACUUACUUAUUCAUUACAAAAUAGCGAG